Molecule: ribosomal RNA, 422 nt
Filed under: uncultured bacterium
Lineage: Bacteria
Description: bacterial SSU rRNA
Rfam family: Bacterial small subunit ribosomal RNA
Source: RNAcentral
UAAGGAAUAUUGGACAAUGGACGCAAGUCUGAUCCAGCCAUGCCGCGUGAAGGAUGAAUGCCCUCUGGGUUGUAAACUUCUUUUAUAGGGGAAGAAAGAUACUUUUUUUAAGGUAGUUGACGGUACCCUAUGAAUAAGCACCGGCUAACUCCGUGCCAGCAGCCGCGGUAAUACGGAGGGUGCAAGCGUUAUCCGGAUUUACUGGGUUUAAAGGGUGCGUAGGCGGGCAUGUAAGUCAGUGGUGAAAUACCGGAGCUUAACUUCGGAACUGCCAUUGAUACUAUAUGUCUUGAAUAUUGUGGAGGUGAGCGGAAUAUGUCAUGUAGCGGUGAAAUGCAUAGAUAUGACAUAGAACACCGAUUGCGGAGGCAGCUUGCUACGCAAAUAUUGACGCUGAGGCACGAAAGCGUGGGGAUCAAACA